Prosopis cineraria is the source of this 633-nucleotide long non-coding RNA. RefSeq lists it as uncharacterized. Lineage: Eukaryota; Viridiplantae; Streptophyta; Magnoliopsida; Fabales; Fabaceae. The transcript is spliced from 5 exons. The record is from RefSeq and is a predicted model, not a curated record.
GGGAAGGAAACGCACAAACGGGAGAGUGAGAGAGAGAGAGAGGAAGAAGAAAGGAGAAAGAGAGGGAGUUAGGCUCGGAUCUAGGAGUCUUUGCGACCGUUGCGAGCUCGGCUACACGAUAGAAAAUUGUUGGUGGAACUUAUUGAGAAGUAAGGAACAAGCCGAGUCCUAUUUUGUACAAGGGGAACCCUUUUAGUACCAAAAGGUUGAGUCCAGGCGAAGGAUUCAGUGGUAGACGGGGAAAGGAGCAAAGCUAAGGGUUUGCUUGUGAUUUUGAAGUGAAGGCAUGGUGGAUCAGCAUUUAGAACUACAAGGAAGUAUUGGCCAUAAUAUAAAAAGGAAGAUGUCGCACCCGAAAAAAUGCGACGCGGACGGCGCGCGAGCGAAAGUCCCGGCCUUCACGGCGGGAACCGGAUCGAACGAGGAGUCGCCACCAAGAUUUUGAGGUAAAUCUCAGAAAACCGCUUAAAUGGAGGAUAAGGAUGAUCUGCAUAAUCAGAGAAUAGGUUUGGGAGUCGGUUGAGUGUGGGGAAGGUGUUAGGCACCCCACAACACCCGUUCGUUAAAACAGUUACCUGAAGUUUGUUGUGCCCUAUUAAUAUGGUUUUAUAAUUAUUUUAACUAUCCCUUUUA